RNAcentral lists this ribosomal RNA (443 nucleotides) under uncultured bacterium. RNAcentral describes it as "partial 16S ribosomal RNA". It matches the Rfam family "Bacterial small subunit ribosomal RNA", at positions 338 to 795 of the family's 1533-position model. The record is from RNAcentral.
CCUACGGGAGGCAGCAGUGGGGAAUAUUGGGCAAUGGGCGCAAGCCUGACCCAGCAACGCCGCGUGAAGGAAGAAGGCUUUCGGGUUGUAAACUUCUUUUCUCAGGGACGAAGCAAGUGACGGUACCUGAGGAAUAAGCCACGGCUAACUACGUGCCAGCAGCCGCGGUAAUACGUAGGUGGCAAGCGUUAUCCGGAUUUACUGGGUGUAAAGGGCGUGUAGGCGGGAAAGCAAGUCAGAUGUGAAAACCAUGGGCUCAACCUGUGGCCUGCAUUUGAAACUGUUUUUCUUGAGUACUGGGGAGGCAGACGGAAUUCCUGGUGUAGCGGUGAAAUGCGUAGAUAUUAGGAGGAACACCAGUGGCGAAGGCGGUCUGCUGGACAGCAACUGACGCUGAGGCGCGAAAGCGUGGGGAGCAAACAGGAUUAGAUACCCCAGUAGUC